This 466-nucleotide ribosomal RNA is filed under the name uncultured bacterium. Its description in RNAcentral is "partial 16S ribosomal RNA". It matches the Rfam family "Bacterial small subunit ribosomal RNA", at positions 29 to 506 of the family's 1533-position model. The record is from RNAcentral.
ACGAACGCUGGCGGCGUGCUUAACCCCUGCCAGUCGCACGGAAAGGCCCUGCUUUUGUGGGGUGCUCGAGUGGCGAACGGGUGAGUAACACGUGAGUAACCUGCCCUUGACUUUGGGAUAACUUCAGGAAACUGGGGCUAAUACCGGAUAGGAGCUCCUGCUGCAUGGUGGGGGUUGGAAAGUUUCGGCGGUUGGGGAUGGACUCGCGGCUUAUCAGCUUGUUGGUGGGGUAGUGGCUUACCAAGGCUUUGACGGGUAGCCGGCCUGAGAGGGUGACCGGCCCCAUGGGGACUGGGAUACGGCCCAGCCCCCUACGGGGGGCAGCGGGGGGGAAUAUUGCACAAGGGGGGGAAGCCGGAUGCAGCAACCCCGGGGGGGGGAUGACGGCCUUCGGGUGGUAAACCGUUUUCGCCUGUGACGAAGGGUGGGGGAGGGGAAUGGGGAAAAAAGCACCGGCAAACUACGU